UCUUUUUUUUUGGAUAAAAAAAGGUACCAAGGUUCGUUGGUGAACAGCGGAAGGGAUCAUUACCGAGUCUACGCAACUCCCAAAACCCAACCCGAACGGUGAUAGUUCAACAGUGUGGGGGCGGACCGUCGCGGGGGGCCUUUUUCCCAGUUAAUAUUUUUUCCCCUCCCUCUGCGCGGCCCGGCCAUCUCCCCGAAAACUCUACAAAAAGGAAAAAAGAAAAUAACUAAAGUUACAACUUUCAGCAAUGGAUCUCUUGGCUCUGGGCAUCGAUGGAAGAAUCGCAGCGAAAUGCUGAUACGUCAAUGCGGAAUUGCCAGAUUUCCAGCGAGUCAUCGAAUCUUUGAUACGCACCAUUGCGCCCGCCGGCACUCCGGCGGGCAUGCCUGUCCGAGCGUCACUUAGAUCCUCCUCAGGGCCGCCCCGCGCGGCCCGGUGUUGGGGCACCGCGGGAACCUUAACCUAAUCCCCCGCGGGCCCCCAAAUGACAGCGGCGCGAGCGACCCGCUACCCCCCCAGCGCAGCGGUGAAACCUCGCUGGCAGGCGGAGCAGGAGCCGCACGCCCACAAGCAAGCAUUUUUUCGAAGCUUGACCUCAGGAUCAGGUAGGACUACCCGCUGAACUUAAGCAUAUCAAUAAGCGGAGGAAAAGAAACCAACAGGGAUUGCCUCAGUAGCGGCGAGCGAAGCGGCAACAGCUCAGAUUUGAAAUCUGGCCCUCGGGCCCGAGUUGUAAUCUUGAGAGGAUGCUUCUGGCGACGCGCCCCGCCCAAGUCCCCUGGAACGGGGCGCCGUAGAGGGUGAGUAGCCCCGUACCGGCGGGAUGCCGAGCCUGUGUGAAGCUCCUUCGAAGAAUCGGGUAGUUUGGGAAUGCAUGCCCUAAGCAGGAGGUAAAUUCCUUCUAAAGCUAAAUACCGGCCAGAGACCGAUAGCGCACAAGUAGAGUGAUCGAAAGAUGAAAAAGCACCUCGGUAAGAGGGUCAAAUAGUACCAGAAAAUGCUGAAAGGGAAAGGGCCUGCUUCCAGAUCUUCUUCCCGGCGGAUCAUCCGUUCGUUCUUUGCACGGUCCACUCCGCGCCGAGCGUGGGCCAACAUACAGUUUUCGCGGGGGGCAAACGGUCUGUGAAACGUGGGCUCCCCACUCGUUGUUUUUAAGGAUUCCCUUGCCUAAUACCACCCGUCCGGCCGAAAAAGGACGCCCCCCUGGGAAAGAUGAGGCUGAAUGUUUCGAGGCCUUUUUUAAACCGAAAAAA
RNAcentral lists this ribosomal RNA (1253 nucleotides) under Ascomycota sp. L501. RNAcentral's name for it is "eukaryotic LSU rRNA". The stretch from base 591 to 1253 matches the Rfam family "Eukaryotic large subunit ribosomal RNA", at positions 1 to 634 of the family's 3401-position model. Lineage: Eukaryota; Fungi; Ascomycota. The record is from RNAcentral.